AAAAAGACAAACCCUAGGUUUCCGUGUCCAACGUUUGACUGUCCGUCUUAUAUGAAAUUUUUUUAUAAUUAGUAUUUUCAUUGUUGUUAGAUGAUAAAAUAUGAUUAAUACUUUAUGUGUGAUUUGUUUUUUUAAUUUUUUUCAUAUUUUUUUUAAAUAAAACGGACGGUCAAAUGUUUGACACGGAAACCCAGGGUUUGUCUUUUU
Molecule: microRNA precursor, 207 nt
Filed under: Oryza barthii
Lineage: Eukaryota; Viridiplantae; Streptophyta; Magnoliopsida; Poales; Poaceae
Description: MIR812 microRNA precursor family
Rfam family: MIR812 microRNA precursor family
Source: Rfam by way of RNAcentral